This 1482-nucleotide unclassified non-coding RNA is filed under the name Haliotis rufescens (red abalone). RNAcentral's name for it is "uncharacterized LOC124141820, transcript variant X2". Lineage: Eukaryota; Metazoa; Mollusca; Gastropoda; Lepetellida; Haliotidae. The record is from RNAcentral.
UGUUACAGUGGCUUGCGUUCACGUGGUGUAUACAUAACAGGUUAUUCGCAGCCACCCUGCCAGACAGAGCGUAGUCACAGCUCUAUGCGGUACAGACUAAGCACUGUGAAAAUGGGACGUUUCAUGGAGGUGGCGCUGCUCCUGGUGUCACUUGGAAUCGUUGACGGUUAAGCAACUCCGACGACAGAAACCCCGACCUCAACAACCUCAGGUGCAACGACACUACCCACACCUGUAUCUACCAACACCCGGACUGGCGGACAAGAAUACCCUGAGGGUAUAAGUAUAGACAAACUAUCUUUGAGUAUGCGAGAUUUGUUUAAAGCCGCUUUGAGCAGUAUUUCAGUUCUAUCAUGGCAUGUCAGCUUGAUAUGGGAGGAAAGCCUGAUGUGAUGCAAGUAUAUACAAUAAAAGGAAUAACAAAUAUGUAUUUCAAAGUUGUAAUCAUAAAAUAUAACAUUAAAAGACUCAUAAAAUAUAAAAUGGUUAAUAAUAUCUGAAUACAUCUAUUAUUUGUGUUUUGGUAAAUUGUAUACAUUGUCUUUGAUCACAGUUUAUAGAUUACCGUUUUGCUGUUUAUAGUUUUGGUUAUGUUGUCAACUUUCUUUGUUGAUGUCGGUUUGGUGUCUUAUCUAGUGUGCUCUGGGGUGCGGCCCCCUCAGUGGUAUAGUGGUUAGAGCGUUUGGCCGGAGAGCAAAAGGUCGGUGGUUCUAUCCACUGGUCGCGUCAAACCUUAUCACAGUACUUGAAGGAUGGUACUUGUUGUUUCCUUGCCUUGAGCUCGGCUUUAUGGGGAUAAGACAGAGAAUGGUCGGCUCGGAGUCAGUACAUUCCAUGUAAAAUAAAUUUAAAUUAAAAUCACUUGACAUACUUGGUUUUGUUUCCAUUAUGACAUGCUCGUUUUGAAAUACUAUACCGGAAUCGAGUAUCUAAGGUGAUGUGCUUUAACUGACUCAUAGCAAUACAUAUUUGAAUAUCCUUAUAAAGCUUUGCAUCAGAACUCGUGACGGUCUUGAGAAACAUACAAUAUUCUGCCACCAACCUUUCAACAGACAUCGGUGGUAUAUGAGACAUCAAUCAGAGACCAACGUCAUAUGUACAGAGAUACAUGGAAGGUCGGGAUAUAGGAACAUAAAGAAAUGCAUGGCGACUCUCUGAUUCGCUGACACCGCUAAUAACACUGGGAUUUAUUCAUAUACAUAGCAGCACACAUGCAAAUAAUUCUGUUUUCAUAAGAACUUUUUCAUGGUCUUCCAUAGGGUAGGUGUGGCUACAUAUUGAUAAUGACAGUCAUAUAACGACCAACUGUAUCGCGAUAAAACACAUAGUCAAUCCAAACAAAUGACAGCUAUAUUCAGCCUGAAUGUUCAGAAUGCCCCAAGUUACACUGUCACUGUGACUUACUGAGGAUGUGAUGAACAAAACGUUCCGAUUGACAUGGAACGCCCGAGUAGGCUCUUAUUCGUCAUGCUGUUAGUAGUU